GUUUGAAUCGUGUUGGCUCUGCCCCUGAUCUGCCUCUUUGUCAGUCUCAGCCAAUCCUAUGGGGAAGCAUUGAGAUUGGUUCAGAAUAACACUUCUGAUGAUGUCAGCAGAUAGCUUGCUAUUCUGAGGCAGACGGUGGCAUAGCCAGCAGCAUCAGGCUUGAAUAUAAGUAAGAUUUUACUAUAUUUAGGAAAGCAAGAGAGAGCCAGGGGGCUAGAUGGUGGUUUUAACACUAUAGUAUCAGAAAUAUAUGUUUGUGUUCUUGACCCUGUAGUGAUCCUUUAAGGUAUUUAAACUGACCAGUGUUGGGAAAAUAAGCAUUAGCAAUAGUGUAC
This is a non-coding RNA of Pelobates cultripes (western spadefoot toad), 335 nucleotides long. The record is from the annotation of a GenBank genome assembly. NCBI's taxonomy places the organism in Eukaryota, Metazoa, Chordata, Amphibia, Anura, Pelobatidae.